RNAcentral lists this transfer RNA (73 nucleotides) under Marmota monax (woodchuck). RNAcentral describes it as "tRNA.Ala". Lineage: Eukaryota; Metazoa; Chordata; Mammalia; Rodentia; Sciuridae. The record is from RNAcentral.
GGGGAUGUGGCUCAAGUGGUAGUGCACUCACCUGGCAUGUGUGGGGCACUGGGUUUGAUCCUCAGCAUCAUGU